AUUGAACGCUGGCGGCAGGCUUAACACAUGCAAGUCGAGCGAGCGGCGGACGGGUGAGUAAUGUCUGGGAAAAUGCCUGAUGGUGGGGGAUAACUACUGGAAACGGUAGCUAAUAGCGCAUACCAUCAGAUGUGCCCAGAUGGGAUUAGCCAGGAGGUGGGGUAAUGGCUCACCUAGGCGACGAUGCCUAGCUGGUCUGAGAGGAUGCCCAGCUACACUGGAACUGAGACACGGUCCAGACUCCUCCGGGACGCAGCAGUGGGGAAUAUUGCACAAUGGUCGCACGCCUCAUGCCGCCAUGCCGCGUGUGUGAAGCAGACCUUCGGUUUGUAAAGCACUUUCUGCGAGGAGGCGUUACUCGCAGAAGAAGCACCGGCUAACUCCGUGCCAGCAGCCGCGGUAAUUC
This 406-nucleotide ribosomal RNA is filed under the name uncultured bacterium. Its description in RNAcentral is "partial 16S ribosomal RNA". It matches the Rfam family "Bacterial small subunit ribosomal RNA", at positions 30 to 526 of the family's 1533-position model. The record is from RNAcentral.